GACGAACGCUGGCGGCGUGCUUAACACAUGCAAGUCGAACGGGAACCUUUAUUUCGGUAAAGGAGAGAGUGGCAAACGGGUGAGUAACACGUAGGCAACCUGCCGACAGGAUGGGGACAACAUUCCGAAAGGAAUGCUAAUACCGAAUGGAGUCCGAGGAUGGCAUCAUCCUUGGAUCAAAGAUGGCCUCUUAACAAUGCUAUCGCCUGUCGAUGGGCCUGCGUCUGAUUAGCCAGUUGGCGGGGUAACGGCCCACCAAAGCGACGAUCAGUAGCCGGUCUGAGAGGAUGAACGGCCACAUUGGGACUGAGACACGGCCCAGACUCCUACGGGAGGCAGCAGUGGGGAAUCUUCCACAAUGGGCGAAAGCCUGAUGGAGCAACGCCGCGUGAGUGAAGAAGGUCUUCGGAUCGUAAAGCUCUGUUGCACGGGACGAAAAACUGGGUUUGAAAACA
RNAcentral lists this ribosomal RNA (455 nucleotides) under Selenomonas sputigena. RNAcentral's name for it is "bacterial SSU rRNA". It matches the Rfam family "Bacterial small subunit ribosomal RNA", at positions 28 to 466 of the family's 1533-position model. The record is from RNAcentral. Lineage: Bacteria; Bacillati; Bacillota; Negativicutes; Selenomonadales; Selenomonadaceae.